AUUUUUUUUUUUAUUUUCAAAGAGAAAAAUAAUGUAGUAUCUAUUUUAUUUAUUUUUGAUAGAAAUAUACAAAACUUGUAUGAAUUAUUAACAAGUUUGAAUCAACUAUUCGACAUUUCAAAAUUUUGAUUUUACUAUCCAAUCUUUUAUUUUAUUUUAUUUGAAUAAAUCAAUAAUAUUUUGGCAUUAAAAUUUGAAUUUGUCAUUUAUCUUACAUAUUUAAUUAUUAUACCUCAUGCAAUUUUUUCAAUCAUAAAUUUGUUAAAAUAAUAAAUUAGUAUAAAUUUUAAAGCCAAAGUGCCGUUAACUGGCUCAAAUCAAGCAAAUUAAAAGUCUGCAUGAUAAAAUCAAAUUUUUGAAAGACUGAGUAGUAGAUUCAAAAUGAUUCAUAAUCUUAAUAAUUUUUAUACAUUUUUACCUUCAUUUUAAAAAAUUACCUAAAAAUAUAAAGCAAUUAAAUUUGAAACUUAAAAUCUCGACUACCAGCUAUCAAAUUUUUUGCCACUUGCGCAGGGAUGAGAAAGUAUAAAAAAAAAAACCACAAAAAAAACAAAA
RNAcentral lists this long non-coding RNA (555 nucleotides) under Ananas comosus (pineapple). RNAcentral describes it as "long non-coding RNA (ACOM_LNC027428)". Lineage: Eukaryota; Viridiplantae; Streptophyta; Magnoliopsida; Poales; Bromeliaceae. The record is from RNAcentral.